This 253-nucleotide ribosomal RNA is filed under the name uncultured Limnohabitans sp. Its description in RNAcentral is "partial 16S ribosomal RNA". It matches the Rfam family "Bacterial small subunit ribosomal RNA", at positions 524 to 776 of the family's 1533-position model. Lineage: Bacteria; Pseudomonadati; Pseudomonadota; Betaproteobacteria; Burkholderiales; Comamonadaceae. The record is from RNAcentral.
UACGUAGGGUGCAAGCGUUAAUCGGAAUUACUGGGCGUAAAGCGAGCGCAGGCGGUUAUGUAAGACAGAGGUGAAAUCCCCGGGCUCAACCUGGGAACUGCCUUUGUGACUGCAUAGCUAGAGCACGGUAGAGGGGGAUGGAAUUCCGCGUGUAGCAGUGAAAUGCGUAGAUAUGCGGAGGAACACCGAUGGCGAAGGCAAUCCCCUGAACCUGUACUGACGCUCAUGCACGAAAGCGUGGGGAGCAAACAGU